This 69-nucleotide transfer RNA is filed under the name Epomophorus wahlbergi (Wahlberg's epauletted fruit bat). RNAcentral describes it as "tRNA-Ala". It matches the Rfam family "tRNA". Rfam says of the family: Transfer RNA (tRNA) molecules are approximately 80 nucleotides in length. Their secondary structure includes four short double-helical elements and three loops (D, anti-codon, and T loops). RNAcentral also lists the same sequence under 1 other name. Lineage: Eukaryota; Metazoa; Chordata; Mammalia; Chiroptera; Pteropodidae. The record is from RNAcentral.
AAGGGCUUAGCUUAAUUAAAGUAGUUGAUUUGCGUUCAAUUGAUGUGGGGUGCAGACCUGCAGUCCUUA